Molecule: transfer RNA, 77 nt
Filed under: Bacillota bacterium
Lineage: Bacteria; Bacillati; Bacillota
Also listed under: 1 other name
Description: tRNA-His
Rfam family: tRNA
About the family: Transfer RNA (tRNA) molecules are approximately 80 nucleotides in length. Their secondary structure includes four short double-helical elements and three loops (D, anti-codon, and T loops).
Source: RNAcentral
GCGGCUGUAGUUCAGCUGGUUAGAGCACUGGAUUGUGAUUCCAGGUGUCGUGGGUUCGAAUCCCAUCAGCCGCCCCA